AAUUGGACCUUGGCCCAUGUAUGAAAGUUGUUCCUCUCAUUGAACUCUACAACCUUGAAAAAUUUGGUAAUUUUUUGUUAUAGUUGAAUUUUCCGGCGAGUCGAGGCGUCCGACUGUCACCCGCGGCGGCGCGUGGCCAAUGAGCCAAUGCCGUCUUUUUAAGCUAAAUUUUGAUGUACUGAAACCAAAUUUGGUAAGUAUUUGGUGUGAUUCACUUGUUUGAAGCUAGAUGGUGAUUGUUAGUCACUUGUAUAAAUUUUGGAAUUUGAAUGAAUUUGAAUUGGUGAACUACUAAUGGCUUGAUCCCUAUUUAGGGUACGUAGGCAGUCUAACGAGAAGUUAGAUGCAGCCAUAAAUAAACGAGGGUCCGAGUUUUGACCUCUUGUUGGGAAUUAGAGUGAAGAGGAGAAAUUUGGGCUAAAUGAAAAAUAAUAAACGAAUGUUCUUGAUAGGUAAAUUUAGUGGUAGACUUUUAUAAGGAAUUAAGGAAUUUUAAUUAAACAAUAAUGUGUAAUGGUAGCAAAUCAAACAAGAGUUUGUUUCGAGCCUAUGAUUGGAACUAUUUCCCGAAAAUAAAUAUUUCGGGGCGGGGCAUUACAACCACCCACCAGCUUCCCCCUCUCUCUCACAUAACCUUAGCCAUCCCGUCCACCACUGUUCUUCUUAAAAUGAAACUAAAUUCAAUGUUUGCAUAAUAACUUAUAUUCUAACCUAAACGCAUUGAUGUAAUUUGUGAUUUUUUAAAUCUUGAAUGGACUCUUGACUCUCUUGAAAUGAGAAAGUCUGAUAAUAUAUACAUUGUAAUUUUAUUGUUUAUUUAUUCUUUUAUUGUAGUUCUAAAAGUUUUAAAAAUAAAAAUAAAAAUAAUGUCCAUAUGGCACUUUGUGAUUGGUUGAUGGAAUCAAUAAAAACAAAAAUAACAAUUUUGCCCCUACAAAUGACAGAAGAAUGAGGAAAAAUCCAAUUUGGACUAUGAUUGAUAAGGAAUGCAAUUAAAAGAAAACUAACGAAAAGUAAAAAAAACUUCCCUUUAAUAAAAAUUCCUUUUUAAAGGUAUAGUGAAUAGUACUAGAGAAAUGUAUAAAUGUGGUUUUUCGUUAAAAGUGAACAGUAGUGGGAGUGUUUUGUUAAAACUCCCUACAAUUAAUAGCUUUUCACCACAUUGGUCUAUUUAAAAAUAGGGUAUCACCACAAGGAUCACGAAAAAAAUUUAGCCUUAUUAAAAAGGCAUAUUUGUCGAUUUGCCCUCUAAACUUGUAUAGUGCUAUCAAUUUCCCUCAUGAACUUUACUUUUAGCCUAUUACCCCCUUGAACUUUUAUAAUUAGCCAAUUUCCCCUUGAACUUUAAUUUUAGCCGAUUACCUCUUGAA
Molecule: long non-coding RNA, 1370 nt
Filed under: Malus domestica (apple)
Lineage: Eukaryota; Viridiplantae; Streptophyta; Magnoliopsida; Rosales; Rosaceae
Description: long non-coding RNA (MDOM_LNC014601)
Source: RNAcentral